GACGAACGCUGGCGGCGUGCUUAACACAUGCAAGUCGAACGGAAAGGCCCUGCUUUUGUGGGGUGCUCGAGUGGCGAACGGGUGAGUAACACGUGAGUAACCUGCCCUUGACUUUGGGAUAACUUCAGGAAACUGGGGCUAAUACCGGAUAGGAGCUCCUGCUGCAUGGUGGGGGUUGGAAAGUUUCGGCGGUUGGGGAUGGACUCGCGGCUUAUCAGCUUGUUGGUGGGGUAGUGGCUUACCAAGGCUUUGACGGGUAGCCGGCCUGAGAGGGUGACCGGCCACAUUGGGACUGAGAUACGGCCCAGACUCCUACGGGAGGCAGCAGUGGGGAAUAUUGCACAAUGGGCGGAAGCCUGAUGCAGCAACGCCGCGUGCGGGAUGACGGCCUUCGGGUUGUAAACCGCUUUCGCCUGUGACGAAGCGUGAGUGACGGUAAUGGGUAAAGAAGCACCGGCUAACUACGUGCCAGCAGCCGCGGUGAUACGUAGGGUGCGAGCGUUGUCCGGAUUUAUUGGGCGUAAAGGGCUCGUAGGUGGUUGAUCGCGUCGGAAGUGUAAUCUUGGGGCUUAACCCUGAGCGUGCUUUCGAUACGGGUUGACUUGAGGAAGGUAGGGGAGAAUGGAAUUCCUGGUGGAGCGGUGGAAUGCGCAGAUAUCAGGAGGAACACCAGUGGCGAAGGCGGUUCUCUGGGCCUUUCCUGACGCUGAGGAGCGAAAGCGUGGGGAGCGAACAGGCUUAGAUACCCUGGUAGUCCACGCUGUAAACGGUGGGUACUAGGUGUGGGGUCCAUUCCACGGGUUCCGUGCCGUAGCUAACGCUUUAAGUACCCCGCCUGGGGAGUACGGCCGCAGGGCUAAAACUCAAAGGAAUUGACGGGGCCCCGCACAAGCGGCGGAGCAUGCGGAUUAAUUCGAUGCAACGCGUAGAACCUUACCUGGGUUUGACAUGGAUCGGGAGCGCUCAGAGAUGGGUGUGCCUCUUUUGGGGUCGGUUCACAGGUGGUGCAUGGCUGUCGUCAGCUCGUGUCGUGAGAUGUUGGGUUAAGUCCCGCAACGAGCGCAACCCUUGUUCACUGUUGCCAGCACGUUAUGGUGGGGACUCAGUGGAGACCGCCGGGGUCAACUCGGAGGAAGGUGGGGAUGACGUCAAGUCAUCAUGCCCCUUAUGUCCAGGGCUUCACGCAUGCUACAAUGGCUGGUACAGAGAGUGGCGAGCCUGUGAGGGUGAGCGAAUCUCGGAAAGCCGGUCUCAGUUCGGAUUGGGGUCUGCAACUCGACCUCAUGAAGUCGGAGUCGCUAGUAAUCGCAGAUCAGCAACGCUGCGGUGAAUACGUUCCCGGGGCU
This 1346-nucleotide ribosomal RNA is filed under the name uncultured bacterium. RNAcentral describes it as "bacterial SSU rRNA". It matches the Rfam family "Bacterial small subunit ribosomal RNA", at positions 28 to 1381 of the family's 1533-position model. The record is from RNAcentral.